This 253-nucleotide ribosomal RNA is filed under the name uncultured prokaryote. RNAcentral's name for it is "partial 16S ribosomal RNA". It matches the Rfam family "Bacterial small subunit ribosomal RNA", at positions 524 to 776 of the family's 1533-position model. The record is from RNAcentral.
UACAGAGGUCCCAAGCGUUGUUCGGAUUUACUGGGCGUAAAGGGUGCGUAGGUGGCGAGGUAAGUUUGAUGUGAAAUCUCCGAGCUCAACUCGGAAAUGGCAUUGAAUACUAUCCCGCUUGAGGGUCGGAGGGGAGACUGGAAUUCUCGGUGUAGCAGUGAAAUGCGUAGAUAUCUAGCGGAACACCAGUGGCGAAGGCGAGUCUCUGGACAUUUCCUGACGCUGAGGCACGAAAGCCAGGGGAGCAAACGGG